This 55-nucleotide non-coding RNA is filed under the name unclassified sequences. The record is from RNAcentral.
AUCCUAACUCUGCCAUCGCCGGUCCCAAGCCCGGGUGAGAAAAGAGGAGGGGGAU